CCUGGUGGCUCAGACGGUAAAGCAUCUGCCUAUAAUGCAGGAGACCUGGGUUUGAUCCCUGGGUCAGGA
Molecule: transfer RNA, 69 nt
Filed under: Capra hircus (goat)
Lineage: Eukaryota; Metazoa; Chordata; Mammalia; Artiodactyla; Bovidae
Also listed under: 1 other name
Rfam family: tRNA
About the family: Transfer RNA (tRNA) molecules are approximately 80 nucleotides in length. Their secondary structure includes four short double-helical elements and three loops (D, anti-codon, and T loops).
Source: Rfam by way of RNAcentral